RNAcentral lists this microRNA precursor (87 nucleotides) under Microcebus murinus (gray mouse lemur). RNAcentral's name for it is "miRNA (ENSMICG00000025680.3)". The stretch from base 8 to 78 matches the Rfam family "mir-2355 microRNA precursor family". Lineage: Eukaryota; Metazoa; Chordata; Mammalia; Primates; Cheirogaleidae. The record is from RNAcentral.
CAGACGCAUCAUCCCCGGAUACAAUGGACAAUAUGCUGUUAUAAUUGUACUGCAUUGUCCUUGCUGUUUGGAGAUAAUACUGCUGAC